CGAGUCGGCUGGGUGAUCGCGGCGGCACUUGUGUGCUGCUGAGGAAAGUCCGGACUCCUAAGAGCACGGUGGUGGGUAACACCCACCUGGGGCGACCCACGGGACAGUGCCACAGAGAACAGACCGCCUCCACCGCUUCGCGGCGGGCGGGGGUCAGGGUGAAACGGUGGUGUAAGAGACCACCAGCGUCCUGGGUGACCAGGACGGCUCGGUAAACCCCACUGGGAGCAAGGCCAAGAAGACCUUCGGGUCGCGUCGGCGAUGAGGGCUGCUCGCCUAGUCGACGGGUAGGCCGCACGCCCCGACAGGUUCACCUGUUGAGGCGAAGGCCCGUGGCGACACGGGUCGCAGAUGGAUGAUCACCCAUCGGCGUUCGCGCCGGUGACAGAAUCCGGCUUAUAGGCCGACUCGUCCA
RNAcentral lists this RNase P RNA (415 nucleotides) under Propionibacteriaceae bacterium. Its description in RNAcentral is "RNase P RNA component class A". It matches the Rfam family "Bacterial RNase P class A". Rfam says of the family: Ribonuclease P (RNase P) is a ubiquitous endoribonuclease, found in archaea, bacteria and eukarya as well as chloroplasts and mitochondria. Its best characterised activity is the generation of mature 5'-ends of tRNAs by cleaving the 5'-leader elements of precursor-tRNAs. Lineage: Bacteria; Bacillati; Actinomycetota; Actinomycetes; Propionibacteriales; Propionibacteriaceae. The record is from RNAcentral.